Molecule: long non-coding RNA, 1870 nt
Organism: Apteryx owenii (little spotted kiwi)
Lineage: Eukaryota; Metazoa; Chordata; Aves; Apterygiformes; Apterygidae
Source: Ensembl
CCCCGGGCGGGCGGCGCCGCGAGGAGGCGGCGGAGCCGUUGGCGGGCGGCGCUGUGAGGAGGCGGCGGAGCCGUUGGCGGGGGGCGCCGCGCCCCUCCCCUGCGCGGCCCCAGGGGCGACAAAACUGACGGAAAGGAGCGGCCGGUGGCUCCGGGAAAUGGUGUUUAUUCAGGGAGCAGGGAGGCCUUGCUUCUCCGUCGGUUCAUAAAUCGGGCUGUCACCGAAAUAAGAAUGAUUUCUCAUGGCCAGCUGCCAGGAUCUCUCCUUAUCGUCCAGUUGACAACUACUCUGACGCUUACUCGGGGCAACCUUCUCCUCGAAUGAGCAUUCAGCACCUUCGAGCUUAACAAAAAUCCUGAGAGCCUGGGAAGAUGAGCCUUCUGUGAGAAUUAAGAAAUCCAGGAGAGCAGACAUGUGUCCCUGGAUGCCACGUUUGCUUCCAACAUGCUACUCGUUUUCCCCGUAGAAGAGACGCCUGCUGCCAUGUCAUUCCCCAUGGAGACGCUUGGCCCGAGUAUUUUAUCCAUUUAUCAAGCCAGAUCAUCAACCAAACCAUCUCACCGCCUGAUCCGUUCUUACGCACCCCCACCACCACCACAGCUAUCAGCCCAAGCCAUGGAAGUGAAAACUGCUCUCUGCCUCCCAGUUUGCAGUAUCUCUGGCACGAUGGGGUACUCAGCUUCCCUGUCUCUACUUUCCCAGUGCAGAUGCCUGUAGGAGAAGAAAGGAGCAUAUCAGGACUUAAAGGUGGUGAAGCAAGUCUGCAGAGAAGUUCCCUAAAUGGGUAUCUAUCAAAACUGGAAAUGGAAAUGGAAGAUCAUUGUCUGCCUCAAAACCUGGCUUCCAUUCAAACAUUUUUAAAGUUGAAAGUCUUCAUCCUUUCAGCUGUUCUGAUGGAGGAACUCUGCACUGAGUCUUACCUGACACUUCAAAAUGUUUAGAUAUAUUAAAGUGACCAUUGUCAAUUCAAUCAUUUGCUGUUUGCAUUUGUGCGUUAACAUCUAAUUUACCAGCGGCUCAGCUUUAUCUCUUACUUUAAGUAUAACCCAACUUUAUAUAUCCCCACUCAAUAACACUUCAUCAAAUGCCUUCACAAUCGCUUUUUUUUUUGCCUUGUGCAAGACAAUGCUGCUGCUUCAUCAUAACCUUUGUCAGAAACUGUUUCCAUUAUUUGUGAAUGCUGCUUUUGUAUUGCUGUGCUUCAGAUGCGGCAUAGUUAAUGAUGUCUUUUGUGAUGGUAUGCAUUUUUGUGCUAAACAGCUUUUUCUUUUAAUGUAUCUUUACAUUUACUGCAGUAUGUGCCAAUUGCUUAUCCAUAUACCGUGUUUAUGCUUUGCCAGAUUGACUCCAGCUUCCUCCCUUCUUCACUGACACAAACACAUUUUUUCACUAGUCCAGCACUUUCCCACUGUUCUUCACGACAUAAUGGUCAGUGCCAACAGUCUUGUUUCUGAUUACAGAUCAUAAAUAAUUCAAUCUCUAAUUAGUCUUAAUGCACUUCUUAAAUGCACAUGGGUUAGUUUUAAAAUGUCACUCUGCAAUGUAAUGGUCAAUUUUUUUAGCUAUGCUCUGCUUUUGUGUAAAGAAAAUGUAUUCCUGAACUUUUUUUGGUUUUGUCAAGCAAUUUGCAGUCUUCAUUAUAUUCUCUCUGGAAUAAUUGGAAGAGCUUCAGUGCAGCUAGAAUUGCUUCGUGUUCUUUCUAUAAUAUACUUGCUCUUUAUCUGAUAGUACUUUAACAUAUCUCAGUAACUUUGGGGAAUUCUGCAGACACCUUCUCCAGAUUCCCUUCCAUGGGGAAUUCUGAUACAUCAUGUUUAUCAUGAUUUUUAAUACCAUACAAUAAAGGUCUGAUACAGAAAAGUAUUUUUCA